This 470-nucleotide ribosomal RNA is filed under the name uncultured bacterium. RNAcentral's name for it is "bacterial SSU rRNA". It matches the Rfam family "Bacterial small subunit ribosomal RNA", at positions 57 to 573 of the family's 1533-position model. The record is from RNAcentral.
GCAAGUCGAGCGCCGUAGCAAUACGGAGCGGCAGACGGGAGAGUAACACGUGGGAACGUGCCCUUCAGUUCGGAACAACCCAGGGAAACUUGGGCUAAUACCGGAUACGUCCGUAAGGAGAAAGAUUUAUCGCUGAAGGAUCGGCCCGCGUCUGAUUAGCUAGUUGGUGGGGUAACGGCCCACCAAGGCGACGAUCAGUAGCUGGUCUGAGAGGAUGAUCAGCCUCACUGGGACUGAGACACGGCCCAGACUCCUACGGGAGGCAGCAGUGGGGAAUAUUGGACAAUGGGCGCAAGCCUGAUCCAGCCAUGCCGCGUGGGUGAUGAAGGCCUUAGGGUUGUAAAGCCCUUUCGGCGGGGAAGAUAAUGACGGUACCCGCAGAAGAAGCCCCGGCUAACUUCGUGCCAGCAGCCGCGGUAAUACGAAGGGGGCUAGCGUUGCUCGGAAUCACUGGGCGUAAAGCGCACGUA